CAGCAAGGAGGCGAGGAGCGGCGGCGGCGCUGAGCCGGGCCCGGGUGUGGGGGCGCCUAUAUCCCCAGCCCAAGCUGCAGGAAGCCGCGCCGCUUCCUCGGAGGGGCUGGGACGGCGGCGGCCACGUGGGGGGCGGGGGCGACGCUCGGGGCCCGCGGCUGGAGGGGGAGUCGCUGCCUCACCCGCGCCUGGCGCCCGCGGCUCCCUCCGCCUCGCCGGCGUUGGCCCACCCUCUCGUAGCUCACCCCGCGAGGCUGGACAGCUCCCGGAACCCCGGAACCGGGAUCUAUUUCGGGGGCUCGGCUGCGUGGCGCCCAGGACUCUCCAGGGUCUCCCAGGAUCGCUCCCCGAAUUCGAGUCGCCCCCUCUCUCUUUCGGGAAUACCAGCUGAUGUCAGUCCGCCAGCCAAAACCAGGGAGGAGAAGCGGGAGCCAGCCCUCUGGAGUCGGGAGAAGGAAGAAGGUGCCACAGCUCUUCAGGACCACGGUUGGGAGAAAGAAUGGAGGGGUUUUAGAACCUUCAGUGUGCGACUUCAUGUGCCAGUCUUCAUCUCAGGAUCUCAAGCUCUUGGAUCAUGGGCACGGAUAACCUGUUGUCCUCCUCUAUGGUCAAGAGGCUGCUUUUGCAAAGAAUCCAGUGGGAGAGAGUCAAUGGCCUGCUUGACGUGAACUCCAAAGUCCUCCUGAUCAGAAUACCAAUUUCUUACUGGGUCUGGAAAGGAGGAGAGAAGGAUAGAGAGUUUCUUCUAGGACCAAAUUGAUUCCUCCACAAAUAGGAAGAUCCCCAGACUGUGUGCACACACCCUCCUCCUCCUUCCUUCUCCAACCCUGGCUGGACCAUGACAUCACAUGGUGGAGGCUGUUUUUUAAAAAGAACUCAGGCCAGAUUUACAAGAAUGAUGCUCAGGCAGCGUGACUGUCAAGGACCGUGGCCAAGUGACCCAUAGCACACACCCAGCAGUGCUGAGAACAUAGCUAGUCCCUUAGCACCUGGGGCUGACUCAUGGUUGCUGUAGGACCCAAUGCCAGAUGCCAGGAUUGCUUUCUCCCUCCAUUCAUUAGGACUGUCCCAUGAAACCCUCCCCAGGAACCCUUCUACCCCAUCCCGGCAUGCCAGGAGCCUGGAUACUGCAUAACACAGGGUACUCAUAUUUGUUUACCAAGCCUUGAAGAUGACAGGCAAUAUGCUGAUAUGCUCAAUGCAUCAUACAAAUUGUUUUAUUUAAAACUGAACUAUUAAAUUAAGUAUCAUAGCAACUCACUUUACAGACAAGGAAACUGAAGCUCAAAGGUUAAGUAAGGGCCAGGCAUGGUGGCUCACUCCUGUAAUCCCAGCAGUUUGGGAGGCUGAGGUGGGAGGAGGAUUGCUUAAGCCCGCGAGUUUGAGACCAGCCUAGGCAAUAUAGGGAGACCCCAUCUCUACAAAAAAUUAUCUGGGCCUGGUGAUGUGUGCCUGUAGUCCCAGCUACUUGAGAGGCUGAGGUGGGAGGAUUGCUUGAGCCCAGAAGUUGAGGCUGCAGUGAGCCAUGAUCAUGCCAUUGUACUCCAGCCUGGGCAGCAAAGCAAAACCCUGUAUUGAAAACAAACAAACAGGCUGGGCACGGUGGCUCACACCUGUAAUCCCAACACUUUGGGAGGCCGAGGCAGGUGGAUCACCUGAGGUCAGGAGUUAGAGACCAGCCUGGCCAACAUGGUGAAACCCGCCUCUACUGAAAAUACAAAAAUUAGCAGGGCAUUGUGGCACAUGCCAAGGUGGGCAGAUCACCUGAGGUCAGGAGUUCGAGACCAGCCUGGCCAACAUGGUGAAACCCCAUCUCUACUAAAAAUACAAAAAUUAGCUGGGCGUGGUGGUGGGCGCCUGUAGUCCCAGCUACUCAGGAGGCUGAGGCAGGAGAAUCGCUUGAACCUGGGAGGUGGAGGUUGCAGUAAGCCAAGAUAGUGCCACUGCACUCCAGCCUGGGCGACAGACAAAAAAAAAAAAAAAAA
RNAcentral lists this long non-coding RNA (1985 nucleotides) under Homo sapiens (human). Its description in RNAcentral is "RAMP2 antisense RNA 1". Lineage: Eukaryota; Metazoa; Chordata; Mammalia; Primates; Hominidae. The record is from RNAcentral.